RNAcentral lists this long non-coding RNA (888 nucleotides) under Pan troglodytes (chimpanzee). RNAcentral describes it as "long non-coding RNA NONPTRT000785". Lineage: Eukaryota; Metazoa; Chordata; Mammalia; Primates; Hominidae. The record is from RNAcentral.
UAGGACAGAGGGACACGGGAUGGACGUGCGCAGAGGCCGCCUGAGAGAACGCAGCAGCGGGAGAGGCCUCCGCAGAACCAGCCCGGCAACCCUGGGACACCGGACCUUCCCCUCCCCCUCCGAGGCUGUGAGAAAAUACAUUUCUGUUGCUUAAGUCCCCAGGCUUGGUAUUUUGUUCCGGCAGCUGGAGCUAGGACAACCCCAGACGCACCCGGCCAGCCCCAAGGGAGGGCGUUCACCGGCUUCCCAUACGCAUCGUAGGAGGCCGCAUGGGCACCCUCCUCAGCCCUGGGCACCCUUGUCGUACCUGACAACCCUGUGUAGAUUCCCUGCAAGCAUCCAGGGGCCAAGGCGGCCGCAGGCUCCUCAGACAAAGGGCUUCCUCCACACGUGGGCUCAGGGCUACGGGCUCCCUGACAUCGACCUCCCCGGCAGCCGCCCUGGUGUUUCUCCCAUUUGCCAGCGGACACAUCCCAGGACUCGGGCUCUGCUCCCUGACGACCUCGCUGGGGCUGCCCCCACCCUUCCGUGGAAUCCUUCGCGACAGUUUCUAAGGGCUCGGAGUGCAGCAUUGAUUUCAACCAUGUGUCUCUGUCAUUAAAAUAGUCCCCCGACUUUGCCUGUGGAAUGUUUUGCUCUCUUCCCAUUUUAAGUUAAAUGUGGUCAGUGUGACGGAAGGAAAUGCGGGUUUUUCUCCAGACCGUCUUGUGCAAGGAGAAGAAGCCUUGAAAAGAAGAGGCACAAACUAUCAGGAACGUCCUCGAAGAGAUGAGCGAAAGCACAUGGCCACAGAAAACCAUGAGGAUGCAACAGAAAGAACGACUCUGAGGCGCCGGGCGUGGCGGCUCACGCCUGUCAUCCCAGCACUUUGGGAGGCUGAGGCGGGCG